GAGCUCACGGUUCAUUUAUUUAUUCAACAAUUAUUUAGUGAAGGCCUACCACAUGCAGGCACUGCAGCUGCAAAGACUCAUCGGCGACCGAGAAAGACAGAUCCUCGUUCUCCUGGAGCUUACAUUCUGACAGAGACAUAAAGCACAAUAAUAAACGUAACAGGUAAACUGCACAGACCUUCAAAUGUAAUGAGUGCUUUAGGGAAGAAAAGGAAAAGGCAGAUGAGGAUAAAGGGGAUCAGAAGUGGUGGGGGCAGAUCGAGACUGAAAUCUAUUCCACACCACAGUUUCAGGCAUGGGGUCAAAUCACAGCAAAUGAGGAAGAACGAUAAACGCAAUGAGUUCCUGGCAUCUGAAUCCUUCAUCCAGCACUGAGCUCUUCAUCCAGAUGGCAGCUGGAAGAGCCCAGUGACCCUAACAUGACCGAUCACCUUCAGUCUCAUAGGCUCCCCUUGUUCCAAACACAAGAUUUUUCUCUCCUUCUGCUCCCUAGAAGGUCCCCAGAGAAGAGAACAGACCAGAGCCUGAGGACAAACACACCUUGACUGGACAACGGAGAGAGGGGCCUGCACAGGGCUAGCGUGACUCCCACGUUCUGAGUCAAGGCCCAGGAGAAACUGAAAAAUCACAUCAUCUCGGGGCUGGAAACGGACCAUCAUGUGUCAACAAAUAUUUUCCAAGUGACCAUGUGCUAGACGCUAAGGAUACACAGAUGAUUAUGACAAAAUCCCUAUUCAAGGCAUUGUGUGCUACGUACUUUUUAUUACAGGCAUUAACUAAUGGUUAUGGGAGUACAAAGGCAGGAAAGAAAAAGCAGACUUUCAAAAUAAAUUGCCAAGAAUCAUCCUGGGAUCACCACACUCACCCUCUCCUACUAAUGCUACGAACAGAAGACUCAUCUGGUGCUUCAGGGCAAGGAGAAAGCGAGGCUGCGACCCUUGCAGGGCCAGGCCUUGAAGCCUCUCAGAGCCAGGGUCUUGUUCUCUCGUGUGGUUUGUUAAAGCAAGCAGCUGGGCUUCCCAGGGGGCUCGGUGGUGAUGAAUUCACCUGCAGGAGACCUUGGGUUCGAUCCCAAGGUCAGGAAGAUCCCCUGGAGAGGGAAAUGGCAGCCCACUCCAGUAUUGUGGCCUGGGAAAUCUCAUGA
Molecule: long non-coding RNA, 1144 nt
Filed under: Capra hircus (goat)
Lineage: Eukaryota; Metazoa; Chordata; Mammalia; Artiodactyla; Bovidae
Description: lncRNA (ENSCHIG00010009016.1)
Source: RNAcentral